ACUGGUGCCCUAGUCGAAUUAGAACCACACCAAUCCAUCUCGAACUUGGUAGUGAAAUGAGUCGAGGGCAAAAAUACUAGUAGGGUGGCCUGCUGGGAAAAUAGUUUGGUGCCAG
This 115-nucleotide ribosomal RNA is filed under the name Massjukichlorella minus. Lineage: Eukaryota; Viridiplantae; Chlorophyta; Trebouxiophyceae; Watanabeales; Watanabeaceae. The record is from RNAcentral.